UUGUAGAAUGGAAGCCCAAGGUGG
RNAcentral lists this non-coding RNA (24 nucleotides) under Mus musculus (house mouse). Lineage: Eukaryota; Metazoa; Chordata; Mammalia; Rodentia; Muridae. The record is from RNAcentral.